RNAcentral lists this ribosomal RNA (754 nucleotides) under uncultured archaeon. Its description in RNAcentral is "bacterial SSU rRNA". It matches the Rfam family "Archaeal small subunit ribosomal RNA", at positions 1 to 731 of the family's 1478-position model. The record is from RNAcentral.
UUCCGGUUGAUCCUGCCGGACCCCACUGCUAUCGGGAUGGGACUAAGACAUGCUAGUCGUGCGCUUCCAAGCCGCGGUGGAGGCGCGGCGCACAGCUCAGUAGCACGUGGCUAACCUACCCUUGGGACGGAAACAACCCCGGGAAACUGGGGCUAAUUUCCGAUAGGUGAAGACUCCUGGAAUGGAUCUUCGCCCAAAAGGCGUUUAGACCAUGCUUCUAAGCGCUGCCCAAGGAUGGGGCCGCGGCCGAUCAGGUUGUUGGUGAGGUAACGGCUCACCAAGCCUUUAACCGGUUCGGGCCGUGAGAGCGGGAGCCCGGAGAUGGGCACUGAGACAAGGGCCCAGGCCCUACGGGGCGCAGCAGUCGCGAAAACUUCGCAAUACGCGGGAGCGUGACGGGGCCAUCCCGAGUGCCGUCCGCUGAGGAUGGCUUUUCCCCAGUGUAGAUAGCUGGGGGAAUAAGGAGAGGGCAAGUCUGGUGUCAGCCGCCGCGGUAAUACCAGCUCUCCGAGUGGUGGGGAUGUUUAUUGGGCUUAAAGCAUCCGUAGCUGGCUGGGCAAGUCCCCUGUUAAAUCUAACGAUUCAAUCGUUGGAUUGCGGGGGAUACUGCUCGGCUAGGGGGCGGGAGAGGCCGACGGUAUUCCCGGGGUAGGGGUGAAAUCCUAUAAUCCCGGGAGGACCACCAGUGGCGAAGGCUGUCGGCUAGAACGCGCCCGACGGUGAGGGAUGAAAGCUGGGGGAGCGAACCGGAUUA